This 433-nucleotide ribosomal RNA is filed under the name uncultured bacterium. RNAcentral describes it as "partial 16S ribosomal RNA". It matches the Rfam family "Bacterial small subunit ribosomal RNA", at positions 29 to 507 of the family's 1533-position model. The record is from RNAcentral.
AACGAACGCUGGCGGCAGGCCUAACACAUGCAAGUCGAGCGGACCCUUCGGGGUUAGCGGCGGACGGGUGAGUAACGCGUGGGAAUAUGCCCUUCUCUACGGAAUAGUCCUGGGAAACUGGGGGUAAUACCGUAUACGCCCUUUGGGGGAAAGAUUUAUCGGGGAAGGAUUAGCCCGCGUUGGAUUAGGUAGUUGGUGGGGUAAUGGCCUACCAAGCCGACGAUCCAUAGCUGGUUUGAGAGGAUGAUCAGCCACACUGGGACUGAGACACGGCCCAGACUCCUACGGGAGGCAGCAGUGGGGAAUCUUAGACAAUGGGGGCAACCCUGAUCUAGCCAUGCCGGGUGAGUGAUGAAGGCCUUAGGGUUGUAAAGCUCUUUCAGCUGGGAAGAUAAUGACGGUACCAGCAGAAGAAGCCCCGGCUAACUCCGUG